RNAcentral lists this ribosomal RNA (95 nucleotides) under Echinicola pacifica. Lineage: Bacteria; Pseudomonadati; Bacteroidota; Cytophagia; Cytophagales; Cyclobacteriaceae. The record is from RNAcentral.
CGCAAGGGAUCCACCUCUUUCCAUCCCGAACAGAGAAGUUAAGCCUUGUCGCGCCGAUGGUACUGGGGUUACACCUGGGAGAGUAGGUCGCCGCC